Molecule: ribosomal RNA, 253 nt
Filed under: uncultured bacterium
Lineage: Bacteria
Description: partial 16S ribosomal RNA
Rfam family: Bacterial small subunit ribosomal RNA
Source: RNAcentral
UACGUAGGGGGCAAGCGUUGUCCGGAUUUACUGGGCGUAAAGAGCGCGCAGGCGGUCGUAUAAGUCGCGUGUGAAAGCCCCCGGCUCAACUGGGGAGGGUCACGCGAUACUGUUCGACUCGAAGGCAGGAGAGGGAAGUGGAAUUCCCGGUGUAGUGGUGAAAUGCGUAGAUAUCGGGAGGAACACCAGUGGCGAAGGCGACUUCCUGGCCUGUUAUUGACGCUGAGGCGCGAAAGCUAGGGUAGCAAACGGG